Molecule: ribosomal RNA, 413 nt
Filed under: uncultured bacterium
Lineage: Bacteria
Description: bacterial SSU rRNA
Rfam family: Bacterial small subunit ribosomal RNA
Source: RNAcentral
GUGUCAGCCGCCGCGGUAAUACGGAGGGUGCGAGCGUUAAUCGGAAUUACUGGGCGUAAAGGGUGCGUAGGUGGUUAUGUAAGUUAUCUGUGAAAGCCCAGGGCUUAACCUUGGAUGUGCAGAUAAAACUGUGUAGCUAGAGUAUGAGAGAGGGUAGUGGAAUUUCCGGUGUAGCGGUGAAAUGCGUAGAGAUCGGAAGGAACACCAGUGGCGAAGGCGGCUACCUGGCUUAAUACUGACACUGAGGCACGAAAGCGUGGGGAGCAAACAGGAUUAGAUACCCUGGUAGUCCACGCCGUAAACGAUGUCAACUAGCUGUUGGCCUUAUAGAUGGGGCGAGUGGCGCAGCAAACGCGAUAAGUUGACCGCCUGGGGAGUACGGUCGCAAGAUUAAAACUCAAAGAAAUUGACGG